GGCAGGGAAGGGAAGGAGGCUGUGGCUGUGGACAGAAAGGAGACACAGAGACACAUGGAUGGUGGACACCAAGCAAGAGCUGGACCUGUGAUCAGGUGAAAAAAUGCGACAAGCAGGACCGGCCAUGCGUGCAAAAUGGAUCCUGAAUUAUUGAAAGGCAACCAUGUGGCUGCCACCCGAGCAAACAGAGACGAACAAUAAGAAAGGAAGUCAGAGGAGCAGUGUCUACGGUUGUCUGUCUUUCAACCCAGGUUCUGCUGGAAAGCAUUCAGCCUGGAGAAGGUCUCGGAUUCCCAAAGGCCUUUCUGUUGUGGGUUUUUUCCCCCCUAAACAUGUUGGUUCAUCUAAUAAAAGAG
Long non-coding RNA from Empidonax traillii (willow flycatcher), 356 nucleotides. RefSeq lists it as uncharacterized. Lineage: Eukaryota; Metazoa; Chordata; Aves; Passeriformes; Tyrannidae. The record is from RefSeq and is a predicted model, not a curated record. The transcript has 3 exons.